Molecule: ribosomal RNA, 543 nt
Filed under: uncultured bacterium
Lineage: Bacteria
Description: bacterial SSU rRNA
Rfam family: Bacterial small subunit ribosomal RNA
Source: RNAcentral
GGGCGAAGCUGAUCUUCAUACCGCGUGUGUGAAGAAGGCCUUAGGGUUGUAAAGCACUUCAAUUGGAAGGAAAACCUCAGGGUUAAUACCCCUGAGCUUGACAUUACCUUUAGAAGAAGCACCGGCUAACUCCGUGCCAGCAGCCGCGGUAAUACGGAGGGUGCAAGCGUUAAUCGGAAUUACUGGGCGUAAAGCGUGCGUAGGCGGCUUUGUAAGCCAGAUGUGAAAGCCCUGGGCUUAACCUGGGAACUGCAUUUGGAACUGCAAAGCUAGAGUUUGGAAGAGGAGAGUGGAAUUUCAGGUGUAGCGGUGAAAUGCGUAGAGAUCUGAAGGAACAUCAGUGGCGAAGGCGACUCUCUGGUCUAAAACUGACGCUGAGGUACGAAAGCGUGGGUAGCAAACAGGAUUAGAUACCCUGGUAGUCCACGCCGUUAAACGAUGUCAACUAAGCCGUUGGCUCUCUAUGAGAGUUAGUGGCGCAGCUAAAGCAUUAAGUUGACCGCCUGGGGAGUACGGACGCAACGUUACAACUCCAAUGAAUUG